RNAcentral lists this long non-coding RNA (1008 nucleotides) under Fragaria vesca (wild strawberry). Its description in RNAcentral is "long non-coding RNA (FVES_LNC004559)". Lineage: Eukaryota; Viridiplantae; Streptophyta; Magnoliopsida; Rosales; Rosaceae. The record is from RNAcentral.
AAGUCUUUCAAAUUUAAAUGGACAACUGAGUUUGUGGGAAGUGCCUUAGCGCUCAAACCAGUCAAAGGGUUGAGAUCUUUUGUUAUGCCAACCCGUGACCAAAUGGUUUGAUGCUCAAGGCUCCAGCUGGGAUUUCAUGAUACGUUAUCCUAUGUAUAGCUGGUCCCUGUGUGAUUCAAAGACCAGUCGCUAUCGGCUAUGUCAAGGUCCACUAAUGGACUGAGUAAGAGGGUUUGAAACCUCUUUGCUCCCUGUUUUGAAUCAUUCAUGUUUUAGGAAAGGGUUAUUUGUCUUAUUGAGAUUGCUUGUGUCAUCUCUGUGUUUGGACACAUCACUUUCAGUAUGGGAGCCAAACACUUCUGUCCAAACCUUUCUGAAACAUGUUGAGGUCAGCUUGCAUCAUCUUUGAUGCCUUGUUGGCCUAUAUAUAUCUAUAGCUUUGGCUUUGCUCAAUGGUUGUGGAAAACUGCCUUAUUGCGUUUUCUUUGUUGAGUCUAGUUUUUAGCUUGCAUUGUUCAUGCUGCUCUAAGUCUUCUUCGUGACUGUAAACCUUAGAGCUUGAACUCAAAACUUCUUUCAUCAACUCAUAUCAUGUUGCAUACCAUAAGGGAUGUGUAGUGCAACCAACCCAAGAAGCGUUCAAGGUUGAAUCUGCUAGUGGUUAGCUGAAUUCACGAACAAGGCUUCGAAAAGUGUAAGAACUUAGAAACAAGAGAGGGAAUAGGUCUAGACUAAUUCGGGACUAGGAAGGAUAGCAUUGUGGUAGUGUAUCACUAGAACUAUUAUUCUUGUAAGAAGUUACUUCAACUUAGUGGAAGUUUUUGUCUCUCAAGAGUUAGAGACACGCAGUUUUUCUCCCUGCAUUCAGGGUUUCUGCGAGAAAAAAACAUCCUUGUGUUGUUUCUUUAUUUGCUGCAAUUUACUUUCUGUAAACUCGUAUCCUGUGAUUCUGGGAUAGCACAAGUCAUUGCUAUCCUUGGAUACAGAAGACAACAAAAAUUUCAAAAA